Molecule: ribosomal RNA, 403 nt
Filed under: uncultured bacterium
Lineage: Bacteria
Description: bacterial SSU rRNA
Rfam family: Bacterial small subunit ribosomal RNA
Source: RNAcentral
UAGGGAAUACUGCAAAAUGGGCGAAAGCCCGAUGCAGCAACGCCGCGUGGGCGAUGAAGGCCUUCGGGUCGUAAAGCCCUUUUCGAGGGGAUGAGGAAGGACAGUACCCUCAGAAUAAGCCUCGGCUAACUACGUGCCAGCAGCCGCGGUAAAACGUAGGAGGCGAGCGUUAUCCGGAUUUACUGGGCGUAAAGCGCGUGCAGGCGGAUUGGAGAGUUGGAUGUGAAAGCUCCCGGCUUAACUGGGAGAGGUCGUUCAAUACUUCCAGUCUUGAGUGCAGUAGAGGGAAGUGGAAUUCCGGGUGUAGUGGUGAAAUGCGUAGAUAUCCGGAGGAACACCAGUGGCGAAAGCGGCUUCCUGGACUGUAACUGACGCUCAGACGCGAAAGCUAGGGUAGCAAACG